GAUAGACGCUGGCGGCGUGCUUAAUACAUGCAAGUCGAACGAAGGUUGUAGCAAUACAUCCUUAGUGGCGAACGGGUGAGUAACGCGUUGGUGACCUGCCCCGAAGUGCGGGAUAACAGUCCGAAAGGAUUGCUAAUACCGCAUGGUUUCAUUUGGAUUAGAUGCCAGAUGAGCAAAGGCGAAAGUCGCUUCGGGAGGGGCUUGCGUCCCAUCAGCUAGUUGGUAGGGUAAUGGCCUACCAAGGCAAUGACGGGUAGGGGACCUGAGAGGGUGGCCCCCCACAAUGGAACUGAAACACGGUCCAUACACCUACGGGUGGCAGCAGUAGGGAAUAUUGGUUAAUGUGCGAAAGCGCGAACCAGCAACGCCGCGUGCACGAUGAAGGCCUUCGGGUUGUAAAGUGCUUUUUGAGGGGAUGAGGAAGGACAGUACCCUCAGAAUAAGUCUCGGCCAACUACGUG
RNAcentral lists this ribosomal RNA (461 nucleotides) under uncultured bacterium. Its description in RNAcentral is "bacterial SSU rRNA". It matches the Rfam family "Bacterial small subunit ribosomal RNA", at positions 28 to 507 of the family's 1533-position model. The record is from RNAcentral.